UGGGGAAUAUUGCGCAAUGGAGGAAACUCUGACGCAGUGACGCCGCGUGCAGGAAGAAGGUUUUCGGAUUGUAAACUGCUUUAGACAGGGAAGAAACAAGACAGUACCUGUAGAAUAAGCUCCGGCUAACUACGUGCCAGCAGCCGCGGUAAUACGUAGGGAGCAAGCGUUAUCCGGAUUUAUUGGGUGUAAAGGGUGCGUAGACGGGAAUGCAAGUUGGUUGUGAAAUCCCUCGGCUCAACCGAGGAAUUGCAACCAAAACUAUAUUUCUUGAAUGCUGGAGAGGAAAGUGGAAUUCCUAGUGUAGCGGUGAAAUGCGUAGAUAUUAGGAGGAACACCAGUGGCGAAGGCGGCUUACUGGACGGUAACUGACGUUGAGGCUCGAAAGCGUGGGGAGCAAACAGGAUUAGAUACCC
Molecule: ribosomal RNA, 416 nt
Filed under: uncultured bacterium
Lineage: Bacteria
Description: bacterial SSU rRNA
Rfam family: Bacterial small subunit ribosomal RNA
Source: RNAcentral